CCCACAUCACACAUUGCCCAUUUUUCCCCUCACGGCCCCGGCCGGUGUCCGUCCCCCGACCCCCCCCCCGACCCCCGGGGCGGCUGCGGAGAAAGGCGGCAGCAGCGGCGGGAGUAGGAGACCAACUUGCUACCAGUUUUCACAUCGUCAGUAAGAACAGUACAUCCCAGGAGUGGUGACGUCCCUGAGCAAGUCACUAUGCUACUGGCUAUAGAGCAGAAGGGAAGAUUUACUGAAGCAAUAUUUUGAAAUGUUACUGUGAGAAAACAAUGGAAUUAUCACAAAAUGGAAUUUCACACUCCCAGCAACCCCCCACCAGAGAAUGGACUGACAAACAGCGUGCAAUGGAAAGCAAGAAUACAAGUUCUGCUCUACAAGUUUCACAACCAGUCCUCUCAUACCUACCAUGAAUACAUCUAACCUACUAAACUUUGUGACAGCAGUUCAACAAAGUCAUGUUUUGCAGCAAAAAUAAAAAAAAAAGUUUAGCAGAUUUUUCUUUUAAAAAAAGUCUGCAAUAUUCUGACUAAUUCUGAGUGGGAUUUUUUUUUUUUAAAAAAGAAAAAAUGUAUUAAAUAACUUCAACAAGCAAACAAAAUCAUAAGCUACAAAGAUAAACUGGUCUUGCUGCCUAGCAUUUUAACCAGUAGAAGCUUUACAGUCAACUCCCAAAACUAUCAACAAACAUCUACAAUCUUAAUUCAUGUUUUUGAUCUGAUGAAAACAUCAUGGCAAAUGUUUGACAGUGAAGAAGUAUGAGAAGGGAGGAAGUAUAGCAGGAGGGAUAUGUAAUAAAAGCGAACAGAAAAAUGAUCAAAAUGUGACCAACAGAUUUUCUGAAAAUGCAGAAAAGAAAGUAACCAUCCUGUCUGGGACAAAGACAUCUGGAAGCAAUAGGGACAAAAACAGGGGAAGGGGAAAAAAAACAAAAAAGUGUAAAAGAAGGGGAGACUCUCAUCCAGCAAAACAUUUGCACAUAUCUCAGUGCAAAUCAAAGUCUAAAGAUAAACCUGAACUUGAGUGCAUUGCUGGAUUUAGAGGAGGGGAAAACAAUAGCAAGAGAUAACAAUGCUUUAGUAAGUAACUACCAACAGCUUGCUGUUUUCAAGAAAACAUGUUUCUUUUAACUGCCAUUUCAGAGCCUUCUAGCUAAGCCUGAGCUUUUGGGCUGUAGAAUGCUACUGAAGAGGACACAGCAACUCUUGCCAGACUAAUUGCUUUACAACAGACCACCUAAGAUCAGAAGAGACCAUUUUCAGUCAACUGGUCCCUAACAUAGCCCUUGUGAAUUUUGUAAAUGUAAAUGAAGAGUUUCGGAGAGACCAUUUUGUCUGGGAGAGGUCACUGGUACCUGGUCCCUAGGCGUGGCCUGUGUGGGUUUAUUUAUCCCCACUAAAAACUGGUUUGCCUAUGGAAAGCACCAUUUUACGACUGAACUUAGGGAGAAAAACCACAAUAGGAAUGUCCUUAGGACAUUUGGGGUGAGGAACUUUUAUAAACUUAUU
Molecule: long non-coding RNA, 1505 nt
Organism: Tyto alba (common barn owl)
Lineage: Eukaryota; Metazoa; Chordata; Aves; Strigiformes; Tytonidae
Exons: 3
Source: RefSeq, a predicted model, not a curated record